RNAcentral lists this long non-coding RNA (662 nucleotides) under Sinocyclocheilus grahami. RNAcentral describes it as "lncRNA (ENSSGRG00000040210.1)". The record is from RNAcentral. Lineage: Eukaryota; Metazoa; Chordata; Actinopteri; Cypriniformes; Cyprinidae.
AUCUUUGCUGUGAUCCUCUUCUUGAUGGGGAUCUUCCUCAUUGUCGGUCGGAAAUGCCGCUGCAAAGGGAACAAGUCAAAGCCAGUGGGUAUUGACACAGAGGCAGCCAGAGGUGCAAAAUAAAGUAAGCUGAGGGAAAGAAAGCAUGGCUUCUUAAGGAGAAAUCUUAAUCAGAACUUUGACCAUUUGGAAGAAGAAAAAGUCACUUGAGGAUUUAGUUCUUCUAGUGUUCACAAUUUAAAAAUUUGUAUGUCUUUGUCUCUGGGUACAUGAGAGUAUGAGUGCUCCUUUUUAAAAUUUGAAGUUUUAAAAAUAUUGUUUAAAUAAAAGUGUUGAUUAUCAGCUAGAACUACUUUGCCGUAAUGUUUAACUCAGCAGCUGAUACCUUUGAGAUUUUCCUUCACUUUUUGUCAUGUACCUUUCAAGCUCUCUGAAGUUUAUGAAAUACAUGGUGUUGGCUAGUAUGUCUAAGUGCUCAGUAGCUAAAAGUAGUAAGUAGGCAUUUUAUAUAUUUUGUAAAUUGUCCAUAGAGUUUUGUCACGUCGCAGAAGUAACAAAACAAACUGUAUACUGUAGUUGAAAAAUAAAGUGAUUUCCAUGGAAUGUCUGUUAAGUGUCCUCGAGAAAACGUAACCGUUAUAUAACGUGUGCUUGGCAUCUGC